This 491-nucleotide ribosomal RNA is filed under the name Bacillus sp. (in: firmicutes). RNAcentral describes it as "bacterial SSU rRNA". It matches the Rfam family "Bacterial small subunit ribosomal RNA", at positions 49 to 524 of the family's 1533-position model. The record is from RNAcentral. Lineage: Bacteria; Bacillati; Bacillota; Bacilli; Caryophanales; Bacillaceae.
CUAUACAUGCAGUCGAGCGGACAGAAGGGAGCUUGCUCCCUGAUGUUAGCGGCGGACGGGUGAGUAACACGUGGGUAACCUGCCUGUAAGACUGGGAUAACUCCGGGAAACCGGAGCUAAUACCGGAUGGUUCCUUGAACCGCAUGGUUCAAGGAUGAAAGACGGUUUCGGCUGUCCCUUACAGAAGGACCCCCGGCGCAAUAACUAGUUGGGGAGGUAACGGCUCACCCAGGGGAACAUUCGUAACCCACCUGAAAGGGUGAUCGGCCACCCUGGGACUGAAAACCGGCCCAAAACCCCACGGGAGGGAGCAAUAGGGAAUCUUCCGCCAUGGAACAAAGUCUUACCGAACAACCCCCCGGGGGUGAUGAAAGUUUUCGGAACGGAAAGCUCUUUUUGGUAGGGAAAAACAAGUGCCAGAAUAACUGGUUGGACCUUGGACGGUCCCAACCCCAAAGCCCCCGGUAAAUAUCUGGCCACAAACCCACAAA